RNAcentral lists this ribosomal RNA (429 nucleotides) under Chloroflexota bacterium. RNAcentral describes it as "Chloroflexi bacterium partial 16S ribosomal RNA". It matches the Rfam family "Bacterial small subunit ribosomal RNA", at positions 355 to 776 of the family's 1533-position model. Lineage: Bacteria; Bacillati; Chloroflexota. The record is from RNAcentral.
UGGGGAAUAUUGCACAAUGGGCGCAAGCCUGAUGCAGCCAUGCCGCGUGUAUGAAGAAGGCCUUCGGGUUGUAAAGUACUUUCAGCGGGGAGGAAGGGAGUAAAGUUAAUACCUUUGCUCAUUGACGUUACCCGCAGAAGAAGCACCGGCUAACUCCGUGCCAGCAGCCGCGGUAAUACGGAGGGUGCAAGCGUUAAUCGGAAUUACUGGGCGUAAAGCGCACGCAGGCGGUUUGUUAAGUCAGAUGUGAAAUCCCCGGGCUCAACCUGGGAACUGCAUCUGAUACUGGCAAGCUUGAGUCUCGUAGAGGGGGGUAGGAUUCCAGGUGUAGCGGUGAAAUGCGUAGAGAUCUGGAGGAAUACCGGUGGCGAAGGCGGCCCCCUGGACGAAGACUGACGCUCAGGUGCGAGAGCGUGGGGAGCAAGCAGG